RNAcentral lists this transfer RNA (72 nucleotides) under Ictidomys tridecemlineatus (thirteen-lined ground squirrel). Its description in RNAcentral is "Spermophilus tridecemlineatus (thirteen-lined ground squirrel) tRNA". It matches the Rfam family "tRNA". Rfam says of the family: Transfer RNA (tRNA) molecules are approximately 80 nucleotides in length. Their secondary structure includes four short double-helical elements and three loops (D, anti-codon, and T loops). Further hydrogen bonds mediate the characteristic L-shaped molecular structure. tRNAs have two regions of fundamental functional importance: the anti-codon, which is responsible for specific mRNA codon recognition, and the 3' end, to which the tRNAs corresponding amino acid is attached (by aminoacyl-tRNA synthetases). tRNAs cope with the degeneracy of the genetic code in two manners: having more than one tRNA (with a specific anti-codon) for a particular amino acid; and 'wobble' base-pairing, i.e. permitting non-standard base-pairing at the 3rd anti-codon position. Lineage: Eukaryota; Metazoa; Chordata; Mammalia; Rodentia; Sciuridae. The record is from Rfam by way of RNAcentral.
GGGGAUAUAACUCAGUUGGUAGAGUGCUUGCCUUGCAUGCAUAAAAGGCCCUGGGUUUAAUCCCCAGCACCA